This 465-nucleotide ribosomal RNA is filed under the name Vreelandella stevensii. Its description in RNAcentral is "partial 16S ribosomal RNA". It matches the Rfam family "Bacterial small subunit ribosomal RNA", at positions 338 to 795 of the family's 1533-position model. The record is from RNAcentral. Lineage: Bacteria; Pseudomonadati; Pseudomonadota; Gammaproteobacteria; Oceanospirillales; Halomonadaceae.
CCUACGGGAGGCUGCAGUGGGGAAUAUUGGACAAUGGGGGCAACCCUGAUCCAGCCAUGCCGCGUGUGUGAAGAAGGCCCUCGGGUUGUAAAGCACUUUCAGUGAGGAAGAACGCCUGGUGGUUAAUACCCAGCAGGAAAGACAUCACUCACAGAAGAAGCACCGGCUAACUCCGUGCCAGCAGCCGCGGUAAUACGGAGGGUGCGAGCGUUAAUCGGAAUUACUGGGCGUAAAGCGCGCGUAGGUGGCUUGAUAAGCCGGUUGUGAAAGCCCCGGGCUCAACCUGGGAACGGCAUCCGGAACUGUCAAGCUAGAGUGCAGGAGAGGAAGGUAGAAUUCCCGGUGUAGCGGUGAAAUGCGUAGAGAUCGGGAGGAAUACCAGUGGCGAAGGCGGCCUUCUGGACUGACACUGACACUGAGGUGCGAAAGCGUGGGUAGCAAACAGGAUUAGAUACCCGAGUAGUC